Molecule: ribosomal RNA, 497 nt
Filed under: uncultured bacterium
Lineage: Bacteria
Description: partial 16S ribosomal RNA
Rfam family: Bacterial small subunit ribosomal RNA
Source: RNAcentral
GAUGAACGCUGGCGGCGUGCCUAAUACAUGCAAGUCGAGCGAACAGACGAGGAGCUUGCUCCUCUGACGUUAGCGGCGGACGGGUGAGUAACACGUGGAUAACCUACCUAUAAGACUGGGAUAACUUCGGGAAACCGGAGCUAAUACCGGAUAACAUUUUGAACCGCAUGGUUCAACAGUGAAAGACGGUCUUGCUGUCGCUUAUAGAUGGAUCCGCGCCGCAUUAGCUAGUUGGUAAGGUAACGGCUUACCAAGGCAACGAUGCGUAGCCGACCUGAGAGGGUGAUCGGCCACACUGGAACUGAGACACGGUCCAGACUCCUACGGGAGGCAGCAGUAGGGAAUCUUCCGCAAUGGGCGAAAGCCUGACGGAGCAACGCCGCGUGAGUGAAGAAGGUCUUCGGAUCGUAAAACUCUGUUAUUAGGGAAGAACAAAUGUGUAAGUAACUAUGCACGUCUUGACGGUACCUAAUCAGAAAGCCACGGCUAACUACGUG